GAACGCCUGUAGCAAUACAGGAGUGGCAGACGGGUGAGUAACACGUGGGAACGUGCCCUUCGGUUCGGAAUAACCCCAGGGAAACUUGGGCUAAUACCGGAUACGUCCGCAAGGAGAAAGAUUUAUCGCCGAGGGAUCGGCCCGCGUCCGAUUAGCUAGUUGGUGAGGUAACGGCUCACCAAGGCGACGAUCGGUAGCUGGUCUGAGAGGAUGAUCAGCCACACUGGGACUGAGACACGGCCCAGACUCCUACGGGAGGCAGCAGUGGGGAAUAUUGGACAAUGGGCGCAAGCCUGAUCCAGCCAUGCCGCGUGAGUGAUGAAGGCCCUAGGGUUGUAAAGCUCUUUCGGCGGGGAAGAUAAUGACGGUACCCGCAGAAGAAGCCCCGGCUAACUUCGUG
RNAcentral lists this ribosomal RNA (400 nucleotides) under uncultured bacterium. Its description in RNAcentral is "bacterial SSU rRNA". It matches the Rfam family "Bacterial small subunit ribosomal RNA", at positions 64 to 507 of the family's 1533-position model. The record is from RNAcentral.